Long non-coding RNA from Poecile atricapillus (Black-capped chickadee), 1870 nucleotides. RefSeq lists it as uncharacterized. The record is from RefSeq and is a predicted model, not a curated record. The transcript is spliced from 4 exons. Lineage: Eukaryota; Metazoa; Chordata; Aves; Passeriformes; Paridae.
GGCUGUGGUCACAGAGGGGAUCGAAGCAGGGUAGUGGGUUAGGAUUCACACCGGUUAGGGUUUUGAGUCAGCUAUGGGAAGGGGGAGGUUUGAGAACUGGCCUCUGGGGCCACCGUGAGGGAAAGGCUCACUUUGGCUAACAAUGCUGAGGCGGGCAGGGCAGAGCAGUCCCAAGGUGUGUUGUCACUUGUCUGUCGUGCUUUCUGUGUCUUCCGUUCAUCUCGUGUAAUAUGUCUCUUGCCUUAGUCCUCCCAGGAGCUUAUGAGAAACCCCAGGUCCUUCCGGUCAUCUCCCAUCUUUCGUUCCUCGGCCCGGGGCCGACGCCGGCGAAGUUUCGAUUCGGGAGGUCAGACAGGCGUCAGAAUCGCAUCUCUAUUCAGAAGCAUCCGAUCGGAUGUCUUUUUAGGUCUUGUUCUCAGCUGUGUUGACAGCUGUGUGCAGUCAUCUUUCUUUACAGUGGAUAAGGACUUGUGCCGAUUCAAAGGCAGGCAGAGGCUUCCAGCCACAGGAUUCUCAGGCAUUCGUCUCCGCGGUUCUCGGAAUAAGUCGUUCCGUUAGCAUCUUUUUCCUCCGGGGUCAUCCGAGCCCGGCGGGCUCGCCUUCGGUCCCCCCUCGGUCAUCUCGUUCAGCAUUCUCUCGGUCCUUGUGAGGACUUUCUCGUCUCAGAGAGUUUUCUCUCCCUGUCGUGUCCCCUCGUCUCACGUGUCACGGGUGUCUGGGGGUAUUCGGUCCGGAACUGCUCUGCCCUGCCGCCCGGCCCCGUUGCAGGUGUUCAAGGACAAGUCCUGGGCACUUGUAGUGGAGAUUCGUAAUACGGGCUGUAGUUGGAGUCUAGGUAGUAUUCUUAUGUUGGCAGAAGGUGUCUGGAGCUGUGAAGUUACCCUGCAGCACUUUGACUUUUUUCCUAACUUUCUUUCAGAUGCGGAUGGAUCGACCUCCCGGCAGAGCGCCCCGUCCCAGAUGAGGGGAUCCCCCUGAGAAGGUCGGUCACGGUUUUUCUUUGCAGCGGGGCUGGAACCGGUCACUGUGUUACAGCUCUGCUCUUUGUCUUUAUUUUUAGGAAGUAAAGCCGGAUAGCAGCAGCGAAGGCGAAGCAGGUAGAAGGUGGUCUACUUGCAAGAUAUCCCAGCCCAGGAUGCCAGAGGACAGGUUCCGUGCAGAGAGGCAGAGCCGAAGUUUGCGAUCGGCCGCACCGAAGCCGGCGCGGGGGACGUCUCGACGUACGCAUCCUAUCGAGGAUGGGUCUUGUCCUAUUACGUUACAAAAGGUCUCUGAUGCCUAUUUUCUGAGGAUCUACCAUUUGAUGUUGAGAAGCAGCAGCGAGAAGAUGUCUCGGGGCAUUUUGUUCAGCACAGUGUUUCAAAUAAGGGUUGCGGUCACUGUGUGAGUUAGAGUCUCCCGCUGUGUGUCAGAGCGUGUCUGUCUGUGAGAGUCGGUGGGUCUGGGUGUGCUUGUGUGUGUGCGUGUUGUGCAGUUCUAACCUUGUGUGUAUUGCUUUUGCUUUUCAGGACUUUAAAUUUACUUUUAAAUUUAGAAUAAAAAAUCCCCAGCUGGGGGGGUUUUUUUUUUUUCCCUCCCAGCUGGGGUUUUUUUUCCUCGGUCCCGGCCGGUCUGCGAGGCGACAGUCAUCGCCUAAGUUUGGGCACGGACCGGCCCCGGACCGGGGUUUUCGUCAGGCAGGGUGAUUUCGAGGCCCCCGGGAACCGAGUUCCCGUGGGGUAGGAGGGGUGUGUGUUGUGCGGUUCUAACCUUGUGUGUAUUGCUUUUCAGGACUUUAAAUUCACUUUUAAAUUUAGAAUAAAAAAUCCCCAGCUGGGGGGGUUUUUUUUUUUUCCCUCCCAGCUGGGGUUUUUUUUCCUCGGUCCCGGCC